This 164-nucleotide ribosomal RNA is filed under the name Polypogon fugax. Its description in RNAcentral is "5.8S ribosomal RNA". It matches the Rfam family "5.8S ribosomal RNA". Rfam says of the family: 5.8S ribosomal RNA (5.8S rRNA) is a component of the large subunit of the eukaryotic ribosome. The record is from RNAcentral. Lineage: Eukaryota; Viridiplantae; Streptophyta; Magnoliopsida; Poales; Poaceae.
ACACGACUCUCGGCAACGGAUAUCUCGGCUCUCGCAUCGAUGAAGAACGUAGCGAAAUGCGAUACCUGGUGUGAAUUGCAGAAUCCCGCGAACCAUCGAGUCUUUGAACGCAAGUUGCGCCCGAGGCCAUUCGGCCGAGGGCACGCCUGCCUGGGCGUCACGCA